CGAACGGAAACGUUGGAAGCUUGCUUCCAGGCGUCGAGUGGCGGACGGGUGAGUAAUACUUAGGAAUCUGCCCAUUAGUGGGGGACAACUCGGGGAAACUCGAGCUAAUACCGCAUACGCCCUACGGGGGAAAGCGGAGGACCUUUCGGGGCUUCGCGCUAAUGGAUGAGCCUAAGUCGGAUUAGCUAGUUGGUGAGGUAAAGGCUCACCAAGGCGACGAUCCGUAGCUGGUCUGAGAGGACGAUCAGCCACACUGGGACUGAGACACGGCCCAGACUCCUACGGGAGGCAGCAGUGGGGAAUAUUGGACAAUGGGCGCAAGCCUGAUCCAGCAAUGCCGCGUGUGUGAAGAAGGC
This 356-nucleotide ribosomal RNA is filed under the name uncultured bacterium. Its description in RNAcentral is "bacterial SSU rRNA". It matches the Rfam family "Bacterial small subunit ribosomal RNA", at positions 63 to 415 of the family's 1533-position model. The record is from RNAcentral.